UACAGAGGUGGCAAGCGUUGUUCGGAAUUACUGGGCGUAAAGGGCGCGUAGGCGGCCUCUUUAGUCAGACGUGAAAUCCCCCGGCUUAACCUGGGAACUGCGUCUGAUACUGGGAGGCUAGAGUUCGGGAGAGGGAUGUAGAAUUCCAGGUGUAGCGGUGAAAUGCGUAGAUAUCGUAAGGAAGACCAGUGGCGAAGGCGGGUCUCUGGACAGUUCCUGACGCUGAGGCACGAAGGUCAGGGGAGCAAACGGG
RNAcentral lists this ribosomal RNA (253 nucleotides) under uncultured bacterium. RNAcentral describes it as "partial 16S ribosomal RNA". It matches the Rfam family "Bacterial small subunit ribosomal RNA", at positions 524 to 776 of the family's 1533-position model. The record is from RNAcentral.